Molecule: ribosomal RNA, 486 nt
Filed under: uncultured bacterium
Lineage: Bacteria
Description: bacterial SSU rRNA
Rfam family: Bacterial small subunit ribosomal RNA
Source: RNAcentral
AUUGAACGCUGGCGGCAUGCCUAACACAUGCAAGUCGAACGGAGGUAGGGGCAACUCUACUUCAGUGGCGGACGGGUGAGGAAUGCGUCGGAAUCUACCCUAUGGUGGGGGAUAACACAGGGAAACUUGUGCUAAUACCGCAUAAUGUCGAGAGACCAAAGCAGGGGACCGCAAGGCCUUGCGCGAUAGGAUGAGCCGACGCCCGAUUAGCUAGUUGGUAGGGUAAAGGCCUACCAAGGCGACGAUCGGUAGCUGGUCUGAGAGGAUGAUCAGCCACACUGGGACUGAGACACGGCCCAGACUCCUACGGGAGGCAGCAGUGGGGAAUAUUGGACAAUGGGCGCAAGCCUGAUCCAGCAAUGCCGCGUGUGUGAAGAAGGCCUGCGGGUUGUAAAGCACUUUUGUUCGGGAAGAAGUCAUGCUGGUUAAUACCUGGUAUGGAUGACGGUACCGAAAGAAUAAGCACCGGCUAACUUCGUGCCAGCA